RNA transcript from Sabethes cyaneus, 3199 nucleotides. RefSeq lists it as uncharacterized. The transcript has 6 exons. Lineage: Eukaryota; Metazoa; Arthropoda; Insecta; Diptera; Culicidae. The record is from RefSeq and is a predicted model, not a curated record.
CUUUGUUUACUUUGUUUAUGAUUCAUUGCGUAUAAACAUCUCAAAUAAAAUUGAGGUUCUCCCGUUUUUUUUUCAAUUGAUACCCAUAUAAUGUAGGAACAUUCAAGAUCCUGGAAAGUAAGUUUAAGUUUCUUUUUUUCUUUGUUAAACGAAUUUGAUAUAGAGCUGCAGAACAUAAAAUAUCAAAGAAGACUUCGAGUGCGUGUCCCUCAAUCCUCCGCAGCUUACUGUCAGUAACCUUAUCGCCAAAUAAAUUUUAUAAUUGCAAAAAUAACUGUUAUCAUGAUGGAGCCGAAUCCCCAGCAGUCUGAAAAGACACCAAUUCGCAUCAGGGAAUACAAUGUUCAACUAGCGGCAUACACAAAUUUUAUCUGCCGGUUAAAUUCCACUGCAGUUCUGGAUAGCCACGUUGUUGAAUUUCUGGAGAGCUUGAUGGGCCUAUUGGAAGAAAUUAACAGUUUUGAUAGUUUUCAAGAGCCAAGCGUUGAAGAAAUCAAAUUCAAUGGCCACAUUAGUAGCCUCAACUCGAUAAUGCGAUGCAACUUUUGUCCAUGGCAUACGGCUAAUGGCGAGGAAUUACUUUUGCACAUUAUUGAAGCAGGUCACUCCAGCACAAAAUUAAAACGUAUACGAUCAGAAGCCGUCGCCAGUUAUCGCGAAUAUAUUUGGCAAGUGCAGUCUAGGCUGCAUAAUAACGGAUUACCCAGAUCACUUUUGGGAGGCAUGAUAAGUUUUCAUUUCUUGUCUAAAUCAUUUCUGGAAACUACCUCCCAGUAUCUAAUAACACUUAGAAAACAUGGCCAGAAACCUACGCUCAUAAUUGCCAACGGGAUCAACAACCUAUUGAUGCAAAUCGAUUCUUUGGUCUCUUCAGCUAAGUGUAUGGAGUCGGUUCAGAGCCCUAAAACCUUAUUGAUGACCUUCGCCAUUUGGAAAAUUUGCUACACAAGUGGGGGAAAAAAUCAUAUGCAUGCCAUACAGUUGUUAAAUGAUUGUAAUGGUAAAACCAAUGGCAUUACACCCGUCCAAAACGUAUUUUCGUUGCCACCUUAUACGGCAAUGAAUCAAUAUCCCAAUGCUGCUUAUCCACCGAUGAACUUCAACAACCAGCCUAAUUUACCAAAUCGUCCAUUGUUGGGACCAGAAUCGCUGUACCAUCCGAUGAAUUUUCCCGGAGCGCCCCAACCAAUGCAUCCCAUGCAAGGAGCUCCACUCAUGGUCCGUCCUCCACCGAAAUUGCCACCUAUCGGGAUCCAUCCAAACACUGAUAUACAACAGAAUCAGUUGAGUACACAGUCAUUGUUGUAUGACCCUAAAAAGCCUCCUCCGAUUAUUCCAGCACAAGGUCUCCAGAGACCACUGCCAUUCCAUGGAGGUGCAGAUCCUACACCAUCGUUUCCACCUUUGGUGCCGGAUAACGAUUAUUCAAACAUCAUUGAAAGAUUAAAACAGUUUCUGCAGAACCCUAAACUAGAUUCUUUUAUCGAAAACGGAAACAUUCUCAGCGAUUUCGAGAAAACUAGUCUAAUUCUUUCGGAGAUAAGACAAGUACUGAUAGAAAUAUGCCCUAAUGUUAAAAUAAGUUGUUUUGGCUCUAAAGUUAGCGGUAUAGGAUAUGAUGAGGAUCCGCUGAAUCUAUAUAUAGACGACGGAGAAAAAAUUAAGACUAGUGCUGGCGUAGAGUUGCUGCUGCGUAAGCUAAAGGAUUUCUUCCUUGAGAAUCCCGCAGAAUGGUUAAUCGUAAACGUUGAUAAUAAUGAUAUACACACAUGUAUCUACGUGAAGAACCACAGCGAAAGUGUUUGCUGCCAAAUUUCAUUCACCAGCGAAAUUUACUGUUGGAACUCUCGGAUCAUCCGCUAUUACGUACGAACGUUCCCAAUAUUCCAGAAAAUGUGCUAUUUCAUGCAGGAGUUAGUCAAAUUGUUGAGCUUGCCUUUCAAUCAACGGGUGAUUAUUCUGCUGGUUGCGUUCUAUCUGCAGACCGAAAAAUGUCUUCCAACGGUUUCCCAACUGCAGGUCGGCUUACCCGAUGAGCAGUUAAGCGAAGGCUGGGUUGUUAAUUUCAACCCAAAGCAACGCUCCGAACUGAAAUUAAAAGACUGUGAACGGGAUCUACGCGCAAGCGCCAUCGGGUUCUUCAACUACUAUGGAAGCAUAUUUUCUUUCGUCGAAUCCGUUGUUUGUCCUCAUGUGGGAAUGCCCGUGAAGCGCGUGGACUUCCUUCCCGAGAACGAACGACGAUUGCCGCUUAAGCGCUAUAAACAAUUGCUUAACACCGCCGCGAAACCUUCCAGUGAUCAACCAAGCAUUCAGCGCAUUAACGUCUCCACGCCGAUGUGUGUCCAGGAUAUGCUGAAUCUUUCCGUCAACGUUACAGAGAAAAUCACUGCCGAAGACACAGUUCGAUUUACGGUGCUUUGCCGGGAACUUCAUUUGCAGUACACCAACAACAAAUGAGGGCUGCUUUUUUUCGCGAUACACUGUUUUUGUUGAAGCUAUUUUAAGAAAGUUAAAUGAUGUUUUAUUAUCAGGACCGAUUGCAGUCGAAAUCCAAUUUCCAUGACUGACAGGAUCAACUAGUUACUUUGUUUGAAAAGGCAGAUUGCAAUAAAAAAGGAAUGAUUAUUUUCGGAAGAUGAAUAGAAAUACAACCAACAUUUCAUGUAACUUUUGCUAUAUUUCUCUUCACUCGUUUGAACUCACGCAUCACUCAUCUCUAGAUCGGGUCAGAAACCUCGACACGUUGCAGUUUGGGUUUAUUUGCUGUACUUCAUGAAUAUAUUGCAUCUAUUGGAUAUCGUUGAAUGUGAAACAAUCCUACUAUAUCCUACUUGCUAUGUAAUUUGUUCGGUAUGGACUUUGUAGGUUCAUGCUUUUGAUUAUGAGAUUUUUCUUUCUGUUUGGUGAUCAACUUCUUUUUUUUUGCUAGAAUAUCAAUUCCGUUCGACGGCCAUGCGCACCCACCCACGUCCGCACACUAAAUAUCUAUUUACUUCUAGGAUCUGAUACACUAAACGCUUUUCCACGAGUUUUUUUUCUGUCUGAACGAACAUUUCGUGUUUUGUUUCCAUUUGUUUUGUUCUCACUUAACUAUUAUAAAUAUACACUUGAGUUUCUCUGCUUGUUGUAACUAGAUAAUACAUCUUAUUUGUUGUUCUGAAUUUUGUGAUUCUAAUAAAUACUUUUGUUAAUUCCC